RNAcentral lists this ribosomal RNA (253 nucleotides) under uncultured bacterium. Its description in RNAcentral is "partial 16S ribosomal RNA". It matches the Rfam family "Bacterial small subunit ribosomal RNA", at positions 524 to 776 of the family's 1533-position model. The record is from RNAcentral.
UACGUAGGGUGCGAGCGUUGUCCGGAAUUAUUGGGCGUAAAGAGCUUGUAGGCGGUUUGUCGCGUCUGCUGUGAAAUUUCGGGGCUCAACCCCGAACUUGCGGUGGGUACGGGCAGACUAGAGUGUGGUAGGGGAGACUGGAAUUCCUGGUGUAGCGGUGAAAUGCGCAGAUAUCAGGAGGAACACCGAUGGCGAAGGCAGGUCUCUGGGCAAUAACUGACGCUGAGGAGCGAAAGCGUGGGGAGCAAACAGG